RNAcentral lists this unclassified non-coding RNA (342 nucleotides) under soil metagenome. RNAcentral's name for it is "partial contains 5.8S ribosomal RNA, internal transcribed spacer 2, and large subunit ribosomal RNA". The stretch from base 1 to 120 matches the Rfam family "5.8S ribosomal RNA", at positions 35 to 154 of the family's 154-position model. The record is from RNAcentral.
GAUGAAGAACGUAGCGAAAUGCGAUAAGUAAUGUGAAUUGCAGAAUUCAGUGAAUCAUCGAAUCUUUGAACGCACAUUGCGCCCGCCAGCACUCUGGCGGGCAUGCCUGUUCGAGCGUCAUUUCAACCAUCAAGCCCCCAGGGGCUUGUGCUGGGGCCCUGCGGCUGCCCGCAGGCCCUGAAAACCAGUGGCGGGCUCGCUAGUCACACCGAGCGCAGUAGCACAUCUCGCUCAGGGCGUGCGGCGGGCUCCUGCCGUGAAACCCCCCACUGUAACCCCAAAGGUUGACCUCGGAUCAGGUAGGAAUACCCACUGAACUUAAGCAUAUCAAUAAGCGGAGGA